This is a non-coding RNA of 396 nucleotides. It matches the Rfam family "Bacterial RNase P class B". From Rfam's summary of the family: Ribonuclease P (RNase P) is a ubiquitous endoribonuclease, found in archaea, bacteria and eukarya as well as chloroplasts and mitochondria. Its best characterised activity is the generation of mature 5'-ends of tRNAs by cleaving the 5'-leader elements of precursor-tRNAs. Cellular RNase Ps are ribonucleoproteins. The record is from Rfam.
GUGUUUAGGUAAUCGCUGCACUUUAUUGUGUAGAGGAAAGUCCAUGCUCGCACAAGCUGAGAUGCUUGUAGUGUUCGUGCCUAGCGAAUUCAUAAGCUAGGGUAGUUUGGGUCUUAUCAACCUGGACUAACGGCAGGAUAAACACCUAAGUCUUUUUAAAGAUAUGGUGUGAGGUCCUUGAAAGUGCCACAGUGACGUAGUCUGAUUGGAAACAAUGAGAGUGGAACGAGGUAAACCCCUCGAGCGAGAAACCCAAAAUAUGGUAGGGGCAUCUUCUCUUUCGGAAAUGAACGAAUAGGAAGAACAGGGAAAAUUCCUUGUAGAUAGAUGGUUACCACCGGAGUACGAGGUUCAUCACCGUUUGGAGUACAAAGGUACAGAACAUGGCUUAUCAAA